RNAcentral lists this ribosomal RNA (409 nucleotides) under bacterium. RNAcentral describes it as "partial 16S ribosomal RNA". It matches the Rfam family "Bacterial small subunit ribosomal RNA", at positions 355 to 776 of the family's 1533-position model. The record is from RNAcentral.
UGGGGAAUAUUGCACAAUGGGCGAAAGCCUGAUGCAGCGACGCCGCGUGAGGGAUGACGGCCUUCGGGUUGUAAACCUCUUUCAGCAGGGACGAAGCGCAAGUGACGGUACCUGCAGAAGAAGCACCGGCUAACUACGUGCCAGCAGCCGCGGUAAUACGUAGGGUGCAAGCGUUGUCCGGAAUUACUGGGCGUAAAGAGUUCGUAGGCGGUUUGUCGCGUCGUUUGUGAAAACCAGCAGCUCAACUGCUGGCUUGCAGGCGAUACGGGCAGACUUGACUACUGCAGGGGAGACUGGAAUUCCUGGUGUAGCGGUGAAAUGCGCAGAUAUCAGGAGGAACACCGGUGGCGAAGGCGGGUCUCUGGGCAGUAACUGACGCUGAGGAACGAAAGCGUAGGUAGCGAACAGG